UACGUAGGGCGCAAGCGUUGUCCGGAAUUAUUGGGCGUAAAGAGCUCGUAGGCGGUUUGUCGCGUCUGCUGUGAAAGCCCGGGGCUCAACCCCGGGUCUGCAGUGGGUACGGGCAGACUAGAGUGCAGUAGGGGAGACUGGAAUUCCUGGUGUAGCGGUGAAAUGCGCAGAUAUCAGGAGGAACACCGAUGGCGAAGGCGGCUCACUGGCUCGAUACUGACGCUGAGGAGCGAAAGCAUGGGGAGCGAACAGGAUUAGAUACCCGCGUAGUCC
RNAcentral lists this ribosomal RNA (273 nucleotides) under uncultured bacterium. RNAcentral's name for it is "partial 16S ribosomal RNA". It matches the Rfam family "Bacterial small subunit ribosomal RNA", at positions 524 to 796 of the family's 1533-position model. The record is from RNAcentral.